UAAAGCCCUUUCAGUGGGAAGAUAAUGACGUUACCCACAGAAGAAGCUCCGGCUAACUCCGUGCCAGCAGCCGCGGUAAUACGGAGGGGGCAAGCGUUGUUCGGAAUUACUGGGCGUAAAGGGCGCGUAGGCGGUUUCACAAGUCAGGAGUGAAAAUUUCGGGCUCAACCCGGGACGUGCUUCUGAAACUGUGGGACUAGAGCACAGGAAGAGGGUGGUGGAAUUCCCCGUGUAGAGGUUCAAAUUCGUAGAUAUGGGGAGGAAGACC
This 268-nucleotide ribosomal RNA is filed under the name magnetic coccus MP17. RNAcentral describes it as "partial 16S rRNA". It matches the Rfam family "Bacterial small subunit ribosomal RNA", at positions 426 to 710 of the family's 1533-position model. Lineage: Bacteria; Pseudomonadati; Pseudomonadota; Alphaproteobacteria. The record is from RNAcentral.